This 244-nucleotide ribosomal RNA is filed under the name uncultured bacterium. RNAcentral describes it as "partial 16S ribosomal RNA". It matches the Rfam family "Bacterial small subunit ribosomal RNA", at positions 333 to 573 of the family's 1533-position model. The record is from RNAcentral.
CAUCACCUACGGGGCGCAGCAGUGAGGAAUAUUGGUCAAUGGGCGGGAGCCUGAACCAGCCAAGUCGCGUGAGGGAAGACGGUCCUAUGGAUUGUAAACCUCUUUAGGCGGGGAGCAAUGCCGGGCACGCGUGCCCGGAGGGAGAGUACCCGCAGAAUAAGCAUCGGCUAACUCCGUGCCAGCAGCCGCGGUAAUACGGAGGAUGCGAGCGUUAUCCGGUGUUAUUGGGGUUAAAGGGUGCGUA